AGGGCUACACACGUGCUACAAUGGCGCAUACAAAGAGAAGCGACCUCGCGAGAGCAAGCGGACCUCACAAAGUGCGUCGUAGUCCGGAUCGGAGUCUGCAACUCGACUCCGUGAAGUCGGAAUCGCUAGUAAUCGUGGAUCAGAAUGCCACGGUGAAUACGUUCCCGGGCCUUGUACACACCGCCCGUCACACCAUGGGAGUGGG
RNAcentral lists this ribosomal RNA (205 nucleotides) under Mesorhizobium sp. Its description in RNAcentral is "partial 16S ribosomal RNA". It matches the Rfam family "Bacterial small subunit ribosomal RNA", at positions 1210 to 1414 of the family's 1533-position model. Lineage: Bacteria; Pseudomonadati; Pseudomonadota; Alphaproteobacteria; Hyphomicrobiales; Phyllobacteriaceae. The record is from RNAcentral.